AACGAACGCUGGCGGCGUGCCUAACACAUGCAAGUCGUGCGAGAAAGUUCCUUCGGGAGCGAGUAAAGCGGCGCACGGGUGAGUAACACGUAGGUAACCUGCCCCCCAGUCUGGAACAACUAGAGGAAACUCUAGCUAAUGCCGGAUGAGACCACGAUCCCUUCGGGGGUUGCGGCCAAAGAUGGCCUCCACUUGUAAGCUAUCGCUGAGGGAUGGGCCUGCGGGCCAUUAGCUUGUUGGUGAGGUAACGGCUCACCAAGGCUGUGAUGGCUAGCUGGUCUGAGAGGAUGACCAGCCACACUGGGACUGAGACACGGCCCAGACUCCUACGGGAGGCAGCAGUGGGGAAUAUUGCGCAAUGGGCGAAAGCCUGACGCAGCGACGCCGCGUGGGUGAUGAAGGCCUUCGGGUCGUAAAGCCCUGUCGCAGGGGAAGAAUAAGCAUCGGUAUAAUACGCCGGUGCCCUGACGGUACCCUGCAAGAAAGCACCGGCUAACUCCGUG
This 503-nucleotide ribosomal RNA is filed under the name uncultured bacterium. Its description in RNAcentral is "bacterial SSU rRNA". It matches the Rfam family "Bacterial small subunit ribosomal RNA", at positions 29 to 507 of the family's 1533-position model. The record is from RNAcentral.